AUUUGAUAUGGUGUUGAUAAAAGAUAAUCAUAUAUCAGCAGCUGGAGGCAUCUCAAAUGCCAUUAAAUCUGUUGACUUGUAUCUGCAAGAAAGAAAUCUUAAAAUGAACGUUGAGGUUGAGACCAGGACUCUUGAGGAAGUUCAUGAGGUAUUACACUAUGCAACUCAAAACAAUACAUUCUUAACUAGGAUGAUGUUGGAUAAUAUGGUAGUUCCACUCCCAAGUGGCGAUGUUGAUGUGUCCAUGCUUAAGGAGGCUGUAGACAUCAUCAAUGGGAGAUUUGAGACUGAGGCUUCAGGAAAUAUUACUCUGCAAACUAUACAGAAAAUUGGACAAACUGGGGUUACUUACAUAUCCAGUGGUGCGCUGA
This 371-nucleotide unclassified non-coding RNA is filed under the name Hevea brasiliensis (rubber tree). The record is from RNAcentral. Lineage: Eukaryota; Viridiplantae; Streptophyta; Magnoliopsida; Malpighiales; Euphorbiaceae.